CAUUUUUUGGUAAGAAAUCGUAAAAGUAAAAAAAAAAGUUUUGACCUUAAAAAUAAAUUUUUCUUUUACUUUCCGGAACUUUUGUAAAAAGCCCUAAUAUUAAUAAUAGUAGAAAGAAAAAGUGAAACCAUUUCACUGGGAACUUGAGGACACCGCGAUCAUAAGGCAAAGACUGCCAUGCAUAGCAAUAUUAUAAUAAUCGGCCAUCACAACUACAUAUGGCAAUAUAAUCAUGAUCUGCCAUUAUCUGUUUUAUUGGCGAAGGGCAACUGACAUGCUACAUUUGAUGGAGUCCAUAAUAGGCCAUCACUUCUCUUGAAGAGCACAGAUUAAACAGCUUCUUACGGCCAUUUUUAAUAUGCUCAACUUACCUGAAUCGCAAGCUAAUGACCGCUAAAAGUUUUGCAGCUAACUAUUCCCUGUUGCAGUGAGAAUUUGAACAAUGGAGGAAGUUCCAAAACUGCCCAUGCAGGUUUAUGGUGUAAGAGGCAAAUCACAAGAAGAAAGGUCACCCCACAAAUGACAGAUGCAGCUUUAUUGCUAAAGACACUCCACCCAUCCAAAGGCAUCCACUCAAACUAACCAAAUCACUAACUCUUCCAUGGAAAAGCAUCAUGGGAAGAGAUGCAGCACAGCCGAGAAAAAGAUCCACGCUUUCACUAUGGUGAACUAUUCAUACAAGGGCACAAAUGUCAAACUCCAAGGAUGUUAUUGAUGUGAAAUAAUUUGGGAGAAGUAAAAACAACACUUGUGGUUUGGACCUCUAGGAAAUUCUUUCCUAGACUAUGGUCUAUGAAGGAACACCACACAUGAAUGGUGGAUUCCACACGAUUUGAAUGGUGAGAGCCACUCACAUGCGAGAUGGUCCACCAUGCAUGGAUCAUGGUCUAGAUUCAAUGAAUUCUCAUGAGCUUUAACACUUUAGGAACUAUGGUCUAUUUUGUAUCCAUCUAGUAUUCCAUGUGUUAUUUGAAUGACAAUGACUAGGCUUGACCACGAGGCGCUCCGCCAUUCCAGUUA
Ricinus communis (castor bean) is the source of this 1020-nucleotide long non-coding RNA. RefSeq lists it as uncharacterized. The record is from RefSeq and is a predicted model, not a curated record. The transcript has 2 exons. NCBI's taxonomy places the organism in Eukaryota, Viridiplantae, Streptophyta, Magnoliopsida, Malpighiales, Euphorbiaceae.